GGUGAGGUGUUGAUCUAACCCUUUGAUUUAUAAGGCCUCUAGCGGCCUGCAAAGCCGUUUAGACGGGUUCGAUUCCCGUCCUCGCCUCCA
RNAcentral lists this transfer RNA (90 nucleotides) under Telluria sp. RNAcentral's name for it is "tRNA-OTHER". It matches the Rfam family "tRNA". Rfam says of the family: Transfer RNA (tRNA) molecules are approximately 80 nucleotides in length. Lineage: Bacteria; Pseudomonadati; Pseudomonadota; Betaproteobacteria; Burkholderiales; Oxalobacteraceae. The record is from RNAcentral.